UUUAGGGCUUUAUAGUAAUUUUGAAAGAGAGGGAAGAGCACGGCUAUGGCGGACAGGCCUAGGGCGAAUGGCGCGUCGUCGUCCUCCAUGCGCGAGCUCGUCUCGCCGCUCGCGAUCAAGCUCCAGCAAGUGUGGCUACAGACGCAGUUCCGCCCGUCGAGAGAUUCCAAUGCAGCAGUGGAUUUGCCGCUGCCGUCGCCUGGCGGAGCGGCUGGAUCGGUCGGCGAUGUUGGAAAUUUCUCGCCGUCGCCACCGACGCUCACCUCUCCGGUCAACGCCGCGGCCAUGGCAGUGGCGGGCACUCCGUCGUCAUCCUCGGAGAGUGGCGAUGAUAGCUGGGGUUGCGUCGCGAUGGAACCCCGCGUGUCUGGGGUCGACGAGAAUGCGGUGCUGCAGUACAUCGACAGCAUGCUCAUGGAGAACCAGAUCGGGGAGCAAGCGUGCCUGGAUCUGGAGGUGAGCGUCGGCGCGCUCCAGGCAGAGCUCGCGGAGCUGAUCCAGACCUCGCCGCCCGAGGUAAGCCCGAAUCUCGACUGGAGGAGCGAUAUUUCGAGCAGCGCCGGCUAUGGUGCCUCGCAGCCAUCGCCGUCGCAGCUUCCACCGGCCCCGCAGGGAUCAUCGUCGCGAAGGAACUCCCCCUCCUCGCUCCUGGGUUCUUGGACAUCGCAGCCUUCCUUCGCCGUGGAUAAUCCUUCUACUUCGUCCUUGCAUCACCACCAAGAAAACACUGUGGAGAGGAAUCGAGAGAGCUUGCAGCCAUCGCCCAGCCUUAAGAAGCGGAGCCACGGGGAGACGAGCGCCAGUGGCAGUGGCUUCCAGAUGGUGGGAUUUUUCGAGCGCCAGAACCUCUUUGGGCUGGAUUGGAACGGCAGGUCGAAUGGAAUUGCAGCAGCGGGGGCGACGACGCAGGGAUUUCCCAACCGGCCUCCCAGGCUGAUCGUACAGAGGAGCGAGAACUACACUCGGCUGUGGGAUAGAAUGGGGCUCAGGAGUCAUCUCCUGGACAAGCUGGUGCUGUGCGGCGAGGCGGUGUGGAGCGACGACUUCGGCAGCGCUUUGGCGAUCAUGGAGGAGCUCCGGGAGCAAGCCGGACCCGAGGGCGACGCGACGCAGCGGGUAGUUCAUUACUUCCUACAUGCAUUGAACGCCCGGAUGAGCAACACGGGCUCCAGGUUCUACAGCGUCAUGUGUAAGGCGCGGCCUUCCAUCGCCGAGACGCUCAAGGCGGUCCAGAUGAUCCUCAAGCACACCCCCUUCCUCGGGCUGCCACAUUUCUUCACGAACCAGAUCAUCCUCGAGGCCAUCAAGGGCGAGCGCAAAGUACACAUUGUCGACUUUGGGAUCAUGUAUGGGCUCCAGUGGCCGGCGCUGCUCCAGCUCUUGGCGGAGAGGAAGGAGGGUCCCCCGCAGCUCCGGAUCACGGGGGUGGAUCUUCCACCCAGAGCGCUCAACAAUCACUCGGGGAGGAUACGAGAGACGGGGAGCCGGCUCAAGCGCUGCGCACAGGACUGGGGGAUUCCUUUCAAGUUCCGGUCUCUCUCGUGUGCAUGGGAGAGCAUGGAGCCGGGGUUGCUGCAGCUCAAGGACGACGAAGUUCUCAUCAUCAGCUGCUCGUUCAAGCAGACCAACUUGUUUGAUGGGUCGGUGAUCGCCGAGAGCCCGAAGCUCCAGUGGCUGACCCGGAUCCGGAACCUCCACCCGAAGGUUUUCAUCCAGUCGCUGGCCAGCUCCAACUUUGCGGGGCCGAUCUUCCUCCAGAGGUUCCAGGAGGCGCUCGUCCACCACGCGGCAGUGUUCGCGGCCAUGGACGCUUGCAUCUCGAGGAUGCUGCCCGAACGGCGGGUGAUCGAGCAGGACAAGUACGGGCGGGAGAUCAUGAACAUCAUCGCCUGCGAGGGGUUGGACAGGGUGGAGCGGUCCGAGACGCACCAGCAGUGGCACCACCUGGCCGUCAAGGCGGGGCUUGAGGUGAUACCGCUCAGCCCGGCCCUGUUCGAGGAGUCGAAAGCCUUCGCCAGGUUCUACAACAGGGAUCUCACAGUGAACAGGGACGGGGAAUGGAUGUGGCUGGGUUGGAGAGACCAGAUCAUCCAUGCGUACUCUGCAUGGCGUGCGGCAACGUGAGGGCAUGAUUGAAUUUCAAAGCUCGGUCCAUUACGGGGUGGCUCGCUGUUGCUGGAAUCGAUCGUUCACGCGUCUGCUAGCAUGGAAGGCACGCAUUGUUCGCUGGAUGGUCAAGAUUUGGAUCCCCGCCCAUAACUCGCUUUGGAACAAGUGUUGGCCGACAGCAUCUGUCAACAUCAAAGAUGAUGGUGUUACUUGUACGGGAAUCACUGGCUAAACAAACAGCUCUAGACAACGACGAUACAAACAAGCAGAGGGAAGUGCAUUUUUGCAAACAGUGUCGGCAGGAUUAAAGCAAGCACUCAGAUGAUUUAAUCAACAAGGAAGAGCACAGUUGCUGGAUUGCGCGCCUAGAGUUCUCAAAAGAGUGUGUAGCGCUCCUUUUGCGGGGCCAUGGAGUGAUGGUGUGCGCCACUAAACAAAUCAUGGAGGCACAACACAAGUGGGUCAAUGGAUCGACUCAACAGUGAGCCCAAGGCUGCUGUUCGUUUUUUGACUUUGACAAUACUGUGUGUUAGAAAAGGUGAAAGAAGUUUCAACAUGUCAAAUCGCGAAGGGCGGCAGUUUGGCCACGAGAGAAAAAAUAUUCUCUGUGUCCCUCGUGAUUUCGGCACUCGCUCUGGCAUCGCCGCAUACAAACAUCGUUCCAAUUGGGGACGUGGUGUUGCGGAGAACAAACGGAUCUAGCGCACGCCUCGGCGCAAGCAUCCAAAUCCGAGACCCCACACUCAGUGCGUCACAUCCAUUGCAAAGCUGCCCACUCGCUUCAUCAUCCGAUCCGACGCGCACACGCGCUUGCAAGCGAAUCGAUCCCGCAGGGAAUCCAAAUCCUGCGCGACGCCGCCACCGGAUCACCACGAGCCCUCAUCCUAUCCGCGCAACAAAGCAUAGAACCCGUUCGUUUGAUCAUGUCAGGAAAAAAAUACUAUGUUGAACAAAGUCGUGUUCAUUCCUUGACUUGGUUGACCGAAGUUUCAGGCUGCUCGCGGGUCUUGUGUUCGUUCUUUGACUUUACGAACUUUCCACAAGAAACCA
Selaginella moellendorffii is the source of this 3159-nucleotide RNA transcript. It is a transcript of the gene named scarecrow-like protein 11, with no coding region annotated. NCBI's taxonomy places the organism in Eukaryota, Viridiplantae, Streptophyta, Lycopodiopsida, Selaginellales, Selaginellaceae. The record is from RefSeq and is a predicted model, not a curated record. The transcript is spliced from 6 exons.